CCUAUGGGGGGCUGCAGUGGGGAAUAUUGGACAAUGGGCGAAAGCCUGAUCCAGCCAUGCCGCGUGUGUGAAGAAGGCCUUCGGGUUGUAAAGCACUUUCAGUGGGGAAGAAAGCCUUGGGGCUAAUACCCUCGAGGAAGGACAUCACCCACAGAAGAAGCACCGGCUAACUCCGUGCCAGCAGCCGCGGUAAUACGGAGGGUGCGAGCGUUAAUCGGAAUUACUGGGCGUAAAGCGCGCGUAGGCGGUCUGAUAAGCCGGUUGUGAAAGCCCCGGGCUCAACCUGGGAACGGCAUCCGGAACUGUCAGGCUAGAGUGCAGGAGAGGAAGGUAGAAUUCCCGGUGUAGCGGUGAAAUGCGUAGAGAUCGGGAGGAAUACCAGUGGCGAAGGCGGCCUUCUGGACUGACACUGACGCUGAGGUGCGAAAGCGUGGGUAGCAAACAGGAUUAGAUACCCCAGUAGUC
RNAcentral lists this ribosomal RNA (465 nucleotides) under Vreelandella stevensii. RNAcentral's name for it is "partial 16S ribosomal RNA". It matches the Rfam family "Bacterial small subunit ribosomal RNA", at positions 338 to 795 of the family's 1533-position model. Lineage: Bacteria; Pseudomonadati; Pseudomonadota; Gammaproteobacteria; Oceanospirillales; Halomonadaceae. The record is from RNAcentral.